This 25-nucleotide small RNA is filed under the name Bombyx mori (domestic silkworm). RNAcentral's name for it is "ovarian small RNA-22887". Lineage: Eukaryota; Metazoa; Arthropoda; Insecta; Lepidoptera; Bombycidae. The record is from RNAcentral.
UAGUAGAAAAGGAAGGACUACGUGA